CCCCUUUCAGGAUCGCAUCUAGAGAGUUUCCAAUACUCUACUAUAGUUUUGGCUACAGGAGGGAGAGUCAAGCAGAGGCCUACCCAUUCCAUUCUUAGCUUGGCCAGUGGCUAGUGAGUGGAAAGAAAUCUGCCACAAAU
This is a small nucleolar RNA of Tachyglossus aculeatus (Australian echidna), 140 nucleotides long. Lineage: Eukaryota; Metazoa; Chordata; Mammalia; Monotremata; Tachyglossidae. The record is from RefSeq and is a predicted model, not a curated record.